RNAcentral lists this transfer RNA (83 nucleotides) under Bacteroidales bacterium. RNAcentral's name for it is "tRNA-Leu". It matches the Rfam family "tRNA". Rfam says of the family: Transfer RNA (tRNA) molecules are approximately 80 nucleotides in length. Lineage: Bacteria; Pseudomonadati; Bacteroidota; Bacteroidia; Bacteroidales. The record is from RNAcentral.
GCGGGCGUGUUGAAAUGGUAGACAAGCAAGACUUAGGAUCUUGUGCCCUGUGCGUGUGGGUUCGAGUCCCACCGCCCGCACCA